UCUGCUCUGAGAGGCUUUGCGGGUGUGGCUGCCGUGUCACAUGCACGUCAGUAGGUGGCAGAGAGGAGAGAGAGAGGCUCUGUCUAUACUCAGUGUUCUGACAUUUAGACAUCUGCACGAUUAGUGCCCUAACAUU
Arvicanthis niloticus (Nile rat) is the source of this 136-nucleotide small nucleolar RNA. RefSeq annotates it as small nucleolar RNA SNORA17. Lineage: Eukaryota; Metazoa; Chordata; Mammalia; Rodentia; Muridae. The record is from RefSeq and is a predicted model, not a curated record.